RNAcentral lists this long non-coding RNA (325 nucleotides) under Salmo salar (Atlantic salmon). RNAcentral's name for it is "lncRNA (ENSSSAG00000096096.1)". Lineage: Eukaryota; Metazoa; Chordata; Actinopteri; Salmoniformes; Salmonidae. The record is from RNAcentral.
GAAAUACAAUGUAUCAAGUGUAUGAGUGUGUCCUCAUUGCACGUCUGUUAUUUGAUGUCGCACCUCAAAUGAUGAGCUGGUGGACUGAGACCAGAUGGGGGGUGAAAUAGGUGGUGACAUGACAGUGUGUUAUCAGAGGACUGAGACCAGAUGGGGGGUGAAAUAGGUGGUGACAUGACAGUGUGUUAUCAGAGGACUGAGACCAGAUGGGGGGUGAAAUAGGUGGUGACAUGACAGUGUGUUAUCAGAGGACUGAGACCAGAUGGGGGGGUGAAAUAGGUGGUGACAUGACAGUGUGUUAUCAGAGGACUGAGACCAGAUGGGG